CGUCAAUGGCAGUAUAGAUGCAUGGCGCUCUCGGACCGGAAACCAUGCGAUGCAAGCACUUAUGUUUUUUUGUUUGGUUCACUGCGCGAUGAACCAUAAGAUUGUUAUAAAUGUCUAAAUCGGGCGUUAUUGAUUUAUUGAAGCAUGAGAUUAGCUAGGCCAAUUUUAAUGGAAUUUCAUGAUGUGAGGUUUUAUACACAUUUAAUAGGGUGUC
RNAcentral lists this long non-coding RNA (214 nucleotides) under Sorghum bicolor (sorghum). Its description in RNAcentral is "long non-coding RNA (SBIC_LNC000078)". The record is from RNAcentral. Lineage: Eukaryota; Viridiplantae; Streptophyta; Magnoliopsida; Poales; Poaceae.